CGGACGGGUGAGUAAUGUCUGGGAAACUGCCUGAUGGAGGGGGAUAACUACUGGAAACGGUAGCUAAUACCGCAUAAUGUCGCAAGACCAAAGAGGGGGACCUUCGGGCCUCUUGCCAUCGGAUGUGCCUAGAUGGGAUUAGCUAGUAGGUGGGGUAACGGCUCACCUAGGCGACGAUCCCUAGCUGGUCUGAGAGGAUGACCAGCCACACUGGAACUGAGACACGGUCCAG
This 232-nucleotide ribosomal RNA is filed under the name uncultured bacterium. Its description in RNAcentral is "partial 16S ribosomal RNA". It matches the Rfam family "Bacterial small subunit ribosomal RNA", at positions 99 to 334 of the family's 1533-position model. The record is from RNAcentral.